CAAUAGGUGGCGCAGUUGGAGGGGGAGAAAGCCAGCCUUUCUGAGGAGUGUAAACAGAAGACGAAACGUCUGGAACAGGUCGAAAACGGAAUGGACGCCUUGUUGAAAGAGUGAACUACGAGUGCAACGUCGUUGAGAUAUUGGAACAGGUCCUCCGUAGCAAUAGUCCUACUUCACAGCAGUACCAUUGACCCAUGUCGGUUACUACAACUACGCAUUCAGAGAGAAAGUAUAUAGAUAGUACGUUUUAUAAAGUGAAGCGACUUUCACUGGAAUCUAUGUUUAUUAAGCUGUUAUGGGUUAACUCCCCACCUAUCUCACCUCACUGCUUUCCAGGUCAAUAGAUGUAAAACAAGGUCAAAACAUACGAUGACCUUCAGAUCCCAUGGGUGCCUUUGGAUUUUGGCAAAGACAGCGUUUAGCUAUGAUACGCAGAGUAGAGGGCUAGGCUCCUGGAUGACCUCGGCCUGGAGGAGUUAGUCUUGAUUCCAGCUUUAUUACCUUUUUAAUGAUUUUUAUAUUGUAAACUGCUAAUAUUUUGAUAACUCUUUCGUGUUUGAUAAUUUUGUGUUUUUAUUGAUAAUAGUGCUUUAAUGUCUACUGCUUGUUGUAACUACAUGUGAUUUUUUAGUUUUGUUCUGUAAUCCAGGACAUUGCUGUAAGGGAGACUUGGUCAAAGGCAGAGAGAAAAAAUAUGCAUAAUUUAUAGUGAUCACUUUAUUAAACAAACAUUUCAUGGGUCAGAUGGGAUAUAUAGAUUUACUUUUGUUUCAUUCAUAAAGGACAAUGGCAAUUAAA
This is a long non-coding RNA of Gadus macrocephalus (Pacific cod), 798 nucleotides long. RefSeq lists it as uncharacterized. The record is from RefSeq and is a predicted model, not a curated record. Lineage: Eukaryota; Metazoa; Chordata; Actinopteri; Gadiformes; Gadidae. The transcript has 2 exons.